GAGGAAGUUUUCAGGCUAGUUAAUAUUUAACACGAAUUGCUGCAAAGACAACAGUGCUCUCCUUCCCUAAAACGAACGGGACUUGGACGGGGCGAAAUCAGGAGAGUUUGGCGGCCAAUGAACGCCGGCUCUCGGAGUGUUUUCCCCGUAAUCCUGCACGCCUCGACCACCCACCUCCCCGCAGGCCGCGAGAGGCACAGGGGAACACCACAGGAGCGUGAGCAAAGCUGUCUUCGCCUUCUCAGCCUCCUCGCAGGCUCUGCAAAGAGUCAAAAAAGCUUUCAGCUUGCCUCCUCCCCCCGGCCCAGGAGGGAAAGGG
Molecule: long non-coding RNA, 319 nt
Organism: Oxyura jamaicensis (ruddy duck)
Lineage: Eukaryota; Metazoa; Chordata; Aves; Anseriformes; Anatidae
Exons: 3
Source: RefSeq, a predicted model, not a curated record